This 516-nucleotide long non-coding RNA is filed under the name Marmota monax (woodchuck). The record is from RNAcentral. Lineage: Eukaryota; Metazoa; Chordata; Mammalia; Rodentia; Sciuridae.
GUGGGUACUAGGGAUUGAAUUUAGGGUUGCUUAAUCACCGAGCCACAUUCCCAGUCCUUUUUAUAUUUUAUCUUAUUUAUUUAUUUAUUUAUUUAUUUAUUUAUUUAUUGUUGCCAAUGAUUAAACCAAGGGGCACUUAACCAUUGAGCAAUAUUCCUAGCCCUUUUUUUAUAUUUUUAUAGACAGGGUCUCCCUAAGGUGGUUGCUGAGGCUGGCUUUGAACUCACAGUCCUCCUGCCUCAGCCUCCUGAGUCACUGGGAUUACACCACAUCUGGCUUUUAUAUUUUAUUUUGAGACAGGGUCUCAUGAAGAAGCUUAGGGCCUCGCUAAGUUGCUGAGGCUGGCUUUUGAACUCCUGAUUCUCCUGCCUCAGCCUUCCCAGUGGAGAAACAGGGAUUUCUUGAGAAGAAGGUAAGUAAUUUUGUAUUCUCUUUGUAUCUAAUUUUGUGUUCUUGAAAAAAAGACCUGUAAUACCAGUAAUUACUAAAACAGCAGGCGGGGAGGGUGGAUUUAAU